AUGAACGCUGGCGGCGUGCCUCAUACAUGCAAGUCGAGCGAAUAGACGAGGAGCUUGCUCCUCUGACGUUAGCGGCGGCCGGGUGAGUAACACGUGGAUAACCUACCUAUAAGACUGGGAUAACUUCGGGAAACCGGAGCUAAUACCGGAUAAUAUAUUGAACCGCAUGGUUCAAUAGUGAAAGACGGUUUUGCUGUCACUUAUAGAUGGAUCCGCGCCGCAUUAGCUAGUUGGUAAGGUAACGGCUUACCAAGGCAACGAUGCGUAGCCGACCUGAGAGGGUGAUCGGCCACACUGGAACUGAGACACGGUCCAGACUCCUACGGGAGGCAGCAGUAGGGAAUCUUCCGCAAUGGGCGAAAGCCUGACGGAGCAACGCCGCGUGAGUGAUGAAGGUCUUCGGAUCGUAAAACUCUGUUAUUAGGGAAGAACAAAUGUGUAAGUAACUAUGCACGUCUUGACGGUACCUAAUCAGAAAGCCACGGCUAACUACGUG
Molecule: ribosomal RNA, 496 nt
Filed under: uncultured bacterium
Lineage: Bacteria
Description: partial 16S ribosomal RNA
Rfam family: Bacterial small subunit ribosomal RNA
Source: RNAcentral